Molecule: long non-coding RNA, 1501 nt
Organism: Aquila chrysaetos chrysaetos
Lineage: Eukaryota; Metazoa; Chordata; Aves; Accipitriformes; Accipitridae
Exons: 4
Source: RefSeq, a predicted model, not a curated record
CCUGUCCCCAAAAAGGAGCUUCCUUUUUGUCUCUUUUUACAUAAAUGUAUUGUCUGCAUAAUGGUGGGCAAGAGCCUCUGCAGUUAUACAGAGUUUCAGCCCAACGCUGGCAGCAGGGAGAUGUCCCUGGGAUGCCUUUUCCCAGGACACUGAACUGUGGGAUACCAGGAUUUAAAAGGUUGCUUUGCAGUUCACAGCUGAAAUAAAGAUGACUUCAAAACAGAGAUACUCACACACACAGAGGACUAUUCCCAAACCAAAAGCAUCUCUCCAUUUAACACAGUCCAAGAGAGGGCAAGGUAUCUGGUUUUCGCUAAAUCCACUGCUGAGAAAAUGAAAACUGUGCUGGCCUCCCACAUCUUCAUGAUGGAUAACAGUUACUUCAAAGAAGCCAAGCCUAGCAUAGACGAAGAGCAAAAGAAAAAGGCCAGGGUCUUCAGGCUGCUCAGAGCUGCAGAAGCCCACAAUCACCUUGAAACCUGAGACUCUGCUAUCAGGAGUUGGGGCAAAGGAAAUAAAUCAUCCAAUACCCUGCCAGCAAACUGCCACAGGCGCUUUGAGACGGGAGGCGUUUCUCCAGCCCUGAAAGAGCAUUAAAAAAGAACUGGCUGAUAACUUGGACAGGGUUCAGAAAGAAGAGGGGAAAGUGAGAAAACAUCUAUAUUCCUACUUCUUUUCUUUAUUCCCCUGGACUGAGGCGAAUCUACCAGCAACAGAUACAGCUUGGGAACUAGCAUCUGAGCUGUUUCCUCAGUGCACAGCACCCUGCUCUCCUUUACAUCAUCAUCUCACACCGCUUUUGUAUUACAGAGGAGUCACAUAAGGCAAUACUAGAUGAUGAAAGAAGUGGAGUAUUUAUUAGAAGACCCUAAAACUUUGAGGAACUCUUUAGAAUAACUCAAGACAGCUGAUGAAUUGGGAUGGGGGACAAGGAAUAGCCAGAUGUUUCAGCUACUGAGUUAAAUUAAUUGUUUCCUAACCUGUGCAACAGCUUCAGCUACAGUAGAUGGGCCUUCAGCGCUUGCAGUGUGGAAGAGCUAGAGGAACAGGCAGGCUGGCCACACAAGUUAGCCCAGGAUCUUACUAUUGUAAGAUGUAAAUAUAAAUGUAAAUCCUGCAACUUGAUUGCAUUUGCUCUGGAAUUGCAGGCACAUAAAUCAGGCUGUAAUCCAAGCUUCAGCCAUUUCAGUGUCACCUGAUCAAUCAGAAAUAGGGAUUGUAUGGUGUUAAACCAAAAACCACAUACAGAAAUUGUUCUGCAUAUAGAAGUUGUUCUCAGCUUAGCAUAUAAGUGAGAAACCUCAAAGUCAUGAGCAGUUUUUCCCAACAGUGAGUCCUGGACCUUGCUGUCUUAAAACAGAAAUAUCAGAAUGAUACUUGUUCACACAGUCAUAACCAUCAUUUUCUUUGUCUGCUGUCUUGUAGCCAGCGGGUCAUGUACACUUGUGUUUAGAUGUGUCCACAGAGGAAUCCAAUCUUCAAAUAAAGAGCUGCAACAGAA